This 253-nucleotide ribosomal RNA is filed under the name uncultured bacterium. RNAcentral's name for it is "partial 16S ribosomal RNA". It matches the Rfam family "Bacterial small subunit ribosomal RNA", at positions 524 to 776 of the family's 1533-position model. The record is from RNAcentral.
UACGUAGGGUGCAAGCGUUGUCCGGAAUUAUUGGGCGUAAAGAGCUCGUAGGCGGUUUGUCGCGUCUGCUGUGAAAACCCGAGGCUCAACCUCGGGCCUGCAGUGGGUACGGGCAGACUAGAGUGCGGUAGGGGAGAUUGGAAUUCCUGGUGUAGCGGUGGAAUGCGCAGAUAUCAGGAGGAACACCGAUAGCGAAGGCAGCUCGCUGGGACGGUACUGACGCUGAGGCGCGAAAGCGUGGGGAGCAAACAGG